GAUGAUUGUGUGUUGUUCACUUUAGUGUUACUUAGUUGAUGAUUCUUAUGUGAGAGUUUUUUCUUGUUACAUGCUUAUUAUACUUUCUUGUGAUAGUGUAUUACUAGUUACUGGUGGAUUGGAUUAAGGGGAAGAAUCUGAUUGUCUCGAAUGGUGCUCCAUAAGUCACACAACAUAAAGGUCCUCCUUCAGUCGCGGAACUCAAAGGUCCUAACGAUGUUAUAAACCUCAUGUAACGAUGUUAUAAACCUCAUACAAAUUUAAACAUAGGAUUUACCUGAAUCUAGUUGAAGAUUGACGCGAUCUGUAAUCCGUAAGAUGACAAU
RNAcentral lists this long non-coding RNA (326 nucleotides) under Brassica rapa (field mustard). RNAcentral describes it as "long non-coding RNA (BRAP_LNC001880)". The record is from RNAcentral. Lineage: Eukaryota; Viridiplantae; Streptophyta; Magnoliopsida; Brassicales; Brassicaceae.